UUUAAAGUAAAAAAAAUAACUUUGUUUUUCUUUCAUUUUUCAGGAAUAUCUGGAAUUUGAAAAAGAAUGUGAUAAAAAAAGAAAAACAGAGAUGUGAUUAUGGAUAGUAAAUUGUACCGCACUUCGUUAAAGAUAAAAGAAGAGUAAUAAAACGAAACAUGAAACAC
Centruroides sculpturatus (bark scorpion) is the source of this 167-nucleotide long non-coding RNA. RefSeq lists it as uncharacterized. Lineage: Eukaryota; Metazoa; Arthropoda; Arachnida; Scorpiones; Buthidae. The transcript has 4 exons. The record is from RefSeq and is a predicted model, not a curated record.